This is a long non-coding RNA of Lotus japonicus, 472 nucleotides long. RefSeq lists it as uncharacterized. The record is from RefSeq and is a predicted model, not a curated record. The transcript is spliced from 2 exons. NCBI's taxonomy places the organism in Eukaryota, Viridiplantae, Streptophyta, Magnoliopsida, Fabales, Fabaceae.
GCCGAUCAAGCCGCCACCACCGCCAGUGACGCACGCGCGAGAGGGAGAACCUUGCGAGAGAGAGAGAGAGAGCUGCGAGGGAGAGUGAGGGGACGUGGACAGCAGCGUUCUUGGACCUUUUCUUCACCAAAACCUUUUCCUUUUCACCAAGUUAGCCAAGAUGGUCGUGAAGAUAAUGGCGACGACUCAUUCUUGGGAGUUGAUGCUACGUGACGAGCCACUACCGGAUGACGACUACACUUCUGAUGAAGAGGAAGAAGAUAAAGAGGAAGGGGCCAAGGAUAUGGUUGGGUUGUGAGACAUCCAUUUUUCUUUUGGGUUGAGAGUACCGAGUUUUGGAAGUAUUGAACCAUUACUUUAUUUUAGUUGAGAUAGUUUAACUUGAUGUAAUUUACUUUGAAGUUUUCUUCCGGAUAUUUAUUUCAUACUCUUUUCAAUGAUUAAUAAAGUUUGAGGUUUACGUUGAUGAUUA